Molecule: ribosomal RNA, 497 nt
Filed under: uncultured bacterium
Lineage: Bacteria
Description: partial 16S ribosomal RNA
Rfam family: Bacterial small subunit ribosomal RNA
Source: RNAcentral
GAUGAACGCUGGCGGCGUGCCUAAUACAUGCAAGUCGAGCGAACAGACGAGGAGCUUGCUCCUCUGACGUUAGCGGCGGACGGGUGAGUAACACGUGGAUAACCUACCUAUAAGACUGGGAUAACUUCGGGAAACCGGCGCUAAUACCGGAUAAUAUAUUGAACCGCAUGGUUCAAUAGUGAAAGACGGUUUUGCUGUCACUUAUAGAUGGAUCCGCGCCGCAUUAGCUAGUUGGUAAGGUAACGGCUUACCAAGGCAACGAUGCGUAGCCGACCUGAGAGGGGGAUAGGCCGCCCUGGAGCUGAGCCACGGUCCAGACUCCUACGGGAGGCAGCAGUAGGGAAUCGUCCGCAAUGGGCGAAAGCCUGACGGAGCAACGCCGCGUGAGUGAUGAAGGUCUUCGGAUCGUAAAACUCUGUUAUUAGGGAAGAACAAAUGUGUAAGUAACUAUGCACGUCUUGACGGUAACUAAUCAGAAAGCCACGGCUAACUACGUG